CACUCAGACCUGUGUAGUCUACCGACCUAUUUUGUUUUUCAUCUUUAGGAAAAAAGGGGUGUUGGAAACAUUCUCCGGAACAGAAACCAACAAGAUCUGGCCCCACGUAUACUCCUUCCUGCAAAUGAAAGUUCCAGAAACCAUCCAAAAAGCCUCUGUUACUCCCUGAGGAAGGCACUUGGCGGGAUGAAGCAGGGCCUCCUCCACUCCUCCCCUCGCCUCUGUAUUUCGAAGCUCUUUUCCUAAGACUUCUCUGAAAAUUAUGAUUUAGUCCUAAUGGCUCUGCCUAAUGAGUCAGAAACUAAGGCUGACCGUGUGUUUAUCUAGUUGUCUUCCAUGGAUGUGCAAUUCAAAACGUCAGACAUGUUGAAACAAACAAACUCAGAGCACAAUUAAGAGAGCAACUGGUGGGGUUGGGGAUUUAGCUCAGUGGUAGAGCGCUUGCCUAGGAAGUACAAGGCCCUGGGUUCGGUCCCCAGCUCCGAAAAAAAAAAGAACCAAAAAAAAAAAAGAACCAAAAAAAAAAAAAAAAAAAAAAAAAAAAAGAGAGAGAGCAACUGGUAAUCAUCUAACCUUUGUUCAGUUAGUCAGAGUGGUUGAUCACAUUUUCAUGUUUUUCUGGAAAAGUUCAAAAAAAAAUUACAUGUCACUCGAGGCAGCUAAAUAUCUCAUUGGAGGCUUUUGCAUAAGGCAGUGCCCACUGCGAUCGAGAAAGAUGCUUUCUAGCCCGGGGAUGUGGUAUUGGGAGAUGCUGUCUAUAGAGUCCAGAAAGAAAGCUACAAGCGUUACAGAUGCCGCUAGCCGCACACUCACUGCUGCCUUACAGCAAGAGCCAGGGCACAGGGGCCAGGCUGUGCACCCUCUACUUACCCAGUCUUCUAUGAAAACGCAGCCACUGGCACUUAGGAACACAUGACUUGGAUCUGGAUCGUCCUCUUUUUCAAACAUGUGUGGACUGAGGUAUGUGGUUGUGUUCACUGACCUAGGUUCUAGGAGGAGCACUGGCAACUGACAAUGGAAUGAAGUCCUAAGUUUUCACAUGCCACUCAGAUGGAGGACCAUGUUUUAGGACAUACCUCUCAGUUUCCCACUCUGAUCCAAAUGGACUGCCUGCCUUGAUGAGCAAGACAGUAAACAGAAAACUAAAGGGUAAGACACAAUACCCAUGGCAGUUUGCCACUGCGGAAGUAGAUGGGGCAUGGGGACAGCCCCUUGACAGAAAGACCAAUCGACAGGUGUAGUAACAGAAGGAUUUUGCACAGUGGGUUCAAAAGCACUGUAAAGGAACUCCCUUACGGACAUUUUAUACCUGGGUUGAAGUUCUAAAUUCAAGAUCCUCUUGUCUUGGCCUCUCUCAAGUGCUGGGAUCACUGUGUGCUACAGCUUCCCACCCUACCUUAAAGGGAAACAACUCCUCAGGUGCCAUCCAAGCAGCCUCCUCAUCUACCUACAGUGCUGGCAUCCAAUCCAGCCUGUGCACUGGGCAAACAUCCUACUCUGUCCUUGCUCUCCAGCCCUUUUUGUUGAUGCUGUUGGUGGUGAUGACUCAGUUUUGUUUUGACACAGUUUGGUUUUAGUUCUCCUGAACUAUGUAGACAGGCUGGCGUCAAACUCAGAGAUCACCUGUCUCUGCUUCCCAAGUACUGAGGUGUAAGGUGUGUGCACCAGCAUGACACCCAGCCCAAGUCCUUAGUUUUUGAAGCGGGUCUUACUAUGUAGCCCAGGCUGGCUUGAGACUAUUAUAGUCCAAACUGGCCUCACAUUCAUCAUUCAUGGUCCUCUUGUUUUAGUUUCCUGAGUGCUUAAAUUACAGGUGUGUACCACUAAAUCAACUCUGAGAACCUAUUUUAAAAUGUCAGUCACUUUAGUUUCCUUAGUGGGACAAGGACCUGUCCUUACAUAUUGUGGCCUGAAGGGACAAAAUAUGAGAAGUUUAAUAAAAGGACAAUUCCACUGUUUAUUUUCCUUGGUGCUAAAUUAAAGAAUCAAGCCCUUGUUCGAGCCUUUGAAAUUUUGGCCUACUUUAUUUCAGACACUCAAAAUACAAAUGCCAACAAAUGGUUCUGAUAUAUUUGAGAGUGGGAAGGAAUCUCUGAUGUUUAAAUUUCACUGUUGAUCUUUCAAAAUGGACUAGGCUUAGGAUUACAAUGAACCUUUUGUCCUUUGUCAGUGUUUCUCUACUGCCUUAUCUGGAUUGUUGAUAACCACUUUCUAAACGCUGCUGUCAAGUACCUAAACCUGGAACUAUCCGCAGGUGGCAGCAGCACUGUGGCUGUUGCCCUUUGCCCCCGGCCCUUCACAGGGCCCUAAACCCCCUUCCUGUCUGCUGCCACAAUGUCUCACUGGUUUCUUUCUAAUAAAUGGUCUUCAAACAUUA
This 2377-nucleotide long non-coding RNA is filed under the name Rattus norvegicus (Norway rat). Its description in RNAcentral is "long non-coding RNA NONRATT003696". The stretch from base 416 to 484 matches the Rfam family "tRNA". The record is from RNAcentral. Lineage: Eukaryota; Metazoa; Chordata; Mammalia; Rodentia; Muridae.